UUGACAGAUCAACAACAUUUUCUAUGUCACUAGGUGGAAGUAAUCCUAAUGGGCGUUCUAUCUUUCCCAACAACAUUUCUAAAGGACUUGCUUUCGUAAUGCGGUUGGUUGUACAAUUGAUUGCCAAUUGCACCUCUCCUAGCACAUCCUGCCAAGACUGAGUUCCAGUUUCAAUUGCCGUUAAUAUAUUUUUUAACGUCCUCAUGGUUCGCUUCACUUGACCAAGUUUAUUUUCUGAUCUGAACAGAAUUGACUGAACUUUGCGCCUGUAAAACACCUUCCCUGGUCAGCUGUUAUUCGGUUUGGUACUCCAAACAAUGAAACAGCGGAUUGAACGGCUUUUAUGCAACUCUCACUGUCUGAUUUAAGGCUAUGACUAAGAUAGACGUAUUUGGUAAACGCGUCUACCUGAACAAUAACAUACUCCUUCUGGUCACUCUUGCCACUUAAUUUUCCUGUAAUAUCGAUGUGGAUAGUGUGCCAAGGAGCAGUGACUUUUGGUAUUAGAUGCAAUUCAGUCUGUAUUUUCCCUGAGGUGGAUUUUGACAUUUUGCAAGUAAUGCAGUUGCCAACAAAUUUUUUAACAUUUUUCGACAUAUUGUCAAACCAGUAAAAGUCGUAAGUUUCAUCCAAUGUCUUAUCAAAACCAAAAUGCAUUAUUGACUCAUGAACUUGGUUUAUAACAGACCAUCUGAAAGCUCGUGGCAGCACUGGUAAACAUAGUGUUCUGCCAUUUCUCUGUAUUUUUCGAUGAAGAACUCCCGCCCCCAAUUCAUAGGUUUUCGCAAUAUCUUCAGGCAGAGAAAACUCUUUUAAUUUUUUUACAAUUUCGACUAUGUCCAAAUCUCGACGCUGUUCGGCAAUAAGCCAGUUGCUUGAAAUUUCAGCUAAACUUACUCUCUUCUCAUCGACUAAUUUUGUGACCGAAGUAGACUUUGUUAAAGGAGGAUUUCUCGAUAAAAAGUCAACAUGUGCCAUUCUUUUCCCUUCUCUAUACUGAAUAUCGAAUGUGAAUGAUUGCAAAUAAGCCCACCAAUGUGGUGCUCUAGGGGUUAAAUCUUGUUUAUUUUUUGACGCUUUUAGUGAGUUGCAGUCAGUAUAAACAAUAAAGUCCCUGCCUAACAAAUAAUGUCGAAAAUGUUUAAUGGAGUUUACAGCUAAGGUUUCCAACUCAUACGAGUGAUAUCUUAAUUCUGCGGGUGAAGUAGUUUUGCUAUAAUAUUCUAUUAUGUAAUAAAAUUGCACCGUAGCCAGUACAACUUGCGUCUGUAGGCAAUUCGAUUGGAUAAAUUGGGUCAAAGAUAACAAGAACUGGUUUUUCAGUUAAAAUGGCAAUGAUCUUUUUCCGUAUCUAUUCAUGUUCCGUUUUUCAAAUAAAUUUAUUUUUGUCUGCAGUUAAAAAGUAUAACGAUUUCAUUAAUUGUGAAAAUCCCUUAAUAAACUGUCGGAAGUAAGACGCUAACCCUAUAAAUUGUCUGAGUGAAGUGAUUGACUGUGGAGGCGGAAGAGCAGUCAACGCUACAAUUUUCUGUGGGUUUGGACGAAUUUCACCAGCACUUACAUUGUAACCCAAGUAUUGAACCGAUGUUUUCAGAAAAGAACACUUUGUAAGGUUGAAUGAAAACCCAGCCUCUGUUAAAACAUUUAGAACAAUCUGUAAUCUUUCUAACGCCUCGCAUUUUGUUGAGGCAACUAUAAUGAUAUCGUCCAUAUAGACGAUAACAAAGGAAUUUGCUAGAUCCCCUAAUGCCUGCAUUACUAAUCGUUGAAAAACCGAAGGUGCGUUUCUGAGCCCGAAUCGCGUAGAUAAAAAUUCUUUUGGCCAUCUGGCGUUACAAACGCCGUAUACUCAAUAGACGCUGAAUAUAAAGGAAUUUGAUAAUAUCCACUGGCCAUACCUAGACAUGUAAAGUAAUUAGCUCCUCCAAGUGUAUUUAUUUGAUCUUGUAUAAGUGUUAACGGGUAUUUAUCAGCGACUGUAUUUGAAUUUACCUCUCUAUAGUUAAUACAAAGCCUGUCUGAACCAUUUUUUUCUUAACCAAUAAUAUAGGGCUAGCAUAAGGUCAACAGCUUCGCCUAAUUAUAUUACAUAUUAGUAAUUCAUUAAUUUUUUCUCGAACUAAAUCUCGCUCACAUGGACUUAAACGAUAUGGCCUUCUGAGCCCGAAUCGCGUAGAUAAAAAUUCGUUUGGCCAUCUGGCGUUACAAACGCCGUAUACUCAAUAGACGCUGAAUGUAAAGGAAUUUGAUAAUAUCCACUGGCCAUACCUAGACAUGUAAAGUAAUUAGCUCCUCCAAGUGUAUUUAUUUGAUCUUGUAUAAGUGUUAACGGGUAUUUAUCAGCGACUGUAUUUGAAUUUACCUCUCUAUAGUUAACACAAAGCCUGUCUGAACCAUUUUUUUCUUAACCAAUAAUAUAGGGCUAGCAUAAGGUCAACAGCUUCGCCUAAUUAUAUUACAUAUUAGUAAUUCAUUAAUUUUUUCUCGAACUAAAUCUCGCUCACAUGGACUUAAACGAUAUGGCCUUCUUUGUACAGUUUUUGUUGGAUCAAUUAAUCUAAUUUUCAUUUCACCAAUUCUGAUUUUUGUACUUGGGAUACUAGUUAUAAAUGAACUAGCUGACUCCGCAGUCGUUGCACUACGUGCAAUUAUUUGUUUUGAAAACAAAGUUGAAUUUGUAUAGUGUUGGAAAACAUUUAUUUGCGAUUUUUCUAAAUAUUUUUUCAAUGUAACUCAGCUUAAUAAACAACAUUUUUUGUUUUCUGUUCCGGUGCGUAAAUGUACAGAGAAUAUGAUUUUUCAACUCGUGAAUGAAAUUUAUGCCACACACCUCCAGCGACUGUCUUUGAGACCUGUUGAUUGUCAUCCCAAAUGCAAGACUCGUUGGAAACUGAAUACGUUUGAACUGAAAUGGAAAAUCGUUGGAACUCAAAGAAAUUCGGGGAAUCAAGCAUUAUACCCCCUUGUAAUGUAAAACGGAUUUUUAAAUAACUAUUUAAACUGAAAUACAACUCUGGGUAAGAAAGCUUCCCAAGCUUAGUCGUAAGCUUCAAAAGCUUGACCAAAUCGCUCAAAAGCUUAGUCGACCGCUAUGUUUGCGAUUAUAUCGAUAUUCAUCUAUAUAAGGGCCUCUAGUUGGAUUUCUUCAAAGCAUGAUAAGAAUACCAAAUCACCUGAGUUCUAGGAUUUAUUAUGCGUUUUUAAGUGGAUUGAUUUGAAGCCAGAGGUGAUGAAUAAACAGAUUUAAGAACUGAUCUCUCCAAAAUAAGGUAAGCUCUCGACAUCAAUAGUUGGGGUUCUCCUUUCACAAUUUUAUAAAGUUCUAAAGGAUCUCAAGAAGAUAAAUUCUAUUAUUGUAAGAGCUCUGAAGAGAGCUCUGGGGUAACAUAGUAUAUACAUAUAUAGGUGCGAAUCCAUGUAGAGCAAUAAAGUAGACAUAAAUGCUGUCAACAAGGCGAAAGAACUAAUCAACGCUAAUAAAUAUGGCAUACAAUGAAAUGACAAUGCCACAUGCAACAUGCAACACACUGCAUGCAGUGGCAAACAUAUUUAUGAGUAGGCAAUGUGGCAGCUAACAAAUGCGUAAUUAACGAUGUUGGCGAAACUAAUAAAAAGGGUGAGAGAAGGAGAACAUGUAGAGUAAAAAGAAGAAGAGAGGAGGUGUUGUAGAACUACAUGCUUGGUUGCAAUGCAGUCGCAAUGUGUCAUAAACUACCAGCAAGUGUGGCAAUAAACGCCAACGUGGAAUGGUUAGUGACAACAACAACAAUAACAAUAACUACAACAACAACUACAGGAAGAAAAUGCAACAAAACUAAUAAUGUUUUAAAAUAAAAUAAAAAACUAGAACAAUAACAAAAAAAUAAAAUAUAAAAUGCAAAAAAAAAAAAAAAUAAAACCAACAAUAGACAGAAAAAAUAACAAUUUUUACAGGAAAAAUAAUAACAACAACAGAAGAGAAUUUUACAACAACAAUAAGAAAAACUACUAUAAAAGAUAAAAAAAAACAAAAAAAUAAUUUUUUUAUAAUAAAAAUAAAUAACACAACAAAAAAUCCAACAAAUAUCACAACUUUGACUAAAACAUUAAACAAACAUUGCUGCCACAAUGCAUGUUACAUUCUUUUUUUCUUAUCACCAAGCUGCCCCACACUCCACACCGUUGUCUUAAUAAGCGUUGACUUAAACGUCAUUACUUUGAGGCAACUUAUGACUCUAUUUCACCACGCCAAAAAAAGUGUGCACUAAUGUCGCCUCGAGUGCAAAAAUGUUGCAUGCAACACAAAUGUGAAGCGUUCACAAUACAGCUGCGCUGUUGCUGUUGCUCCUGUCCGACACUCCAACGCUUCCAGCGUAAAUAUAUAAAUAUUUGUGUAUUUUAAUGUUGCGCGCCUUCAGGCCACUUGCCGAGUCCACAACACGCUGACUGCCACGCUCGCCAUUUAGUGGCGUAUAAAAUAAAUUAAAUAUUUGCAACUUCUCAUUUGCCGCAAAGUGUUGCAUAUUUGCAUUUUUUGCAAGUUUUUAUUUUUCUUCACUCGCUUGCCUUGCCAACUCGUAUGCGCCUCAUUUGCAGCGAGUAACCGUAUAAUGUGUUGUUGUUGUUUUUGUGUUGGCAAAGUGUCGAUUGCCUUAGCUGUGGGUAGCCAUUUAUGACCGCUAGUUUUACAGUUUAGAAUUUAUAGUUGUUGUUAUUUUUGCUAUAGCAGAUUUUAAAUUUUAUUGCCACAGCGCGAGCGGUGAGUAGGCGAUUGCAGAGCGUAUAUUUAUAUAGUCGCUAGUGGCAUUCAGUUGUAGUUGUGUUACAUAAAUUGAGUUACCAUUUAUGAUUAGUGUUGAUGUGACUCAUUGUUGCUAAUUUAAUAAGCGAUAAAGACGAUUGGAUUUAGUUGAAUAAUUUUGUUUUUAUAAAUUUAUCACAUUCUGUAAGAUUUUGAAAUAAUAUUAGAUUAUGUUAUAAUAUCAUAACGAAAUCGCUGUGAAGUGCAGAGCCGAAUAGCUUGCUAGAAAACUCACCUUUGUCCCUAUUUUGUCA
Long non-coding RNA from Zeugodacus cucurbitae (melon fly), 5034 nucleotides. RefSeq lists it as uncharacterized. The record is from RefSeq and is a predicted model, not a curated record. The transcript has 3 exons. Lineage: Eukaryota; Metazoa; Arthropoda; Insecta; Diptera; Tephritidae.